GCUGAGGAGAGCAAAUAUGGCUGAAGGGCUGCUUAAUGAAGAUGUCCUCAAGUCAUUGGUAAAGGAGCCCUAAGGAGAUGACAGUGCUCUGGACCCACAGGAAGAACAUCCUUCAUGGUCCUUCAGGCACCCCAUGCUCACUGAAAUUUUCCCCACCUGCCAUAGUGGAAUCCCUUAGGGUUGGCAGGAUGGGUGCAAUCAGAGGAUGAUGGAGAACCAUGGAAAAGUUAAACACCAAAGGUGAUGGGAUUCCUGGUGCACUGCUGUACGCAAGUUUGUGUGGUGGUACAGGUCGGGGGAGGAAGCUGUGCUGUUGCUGCCCAAGCCAAAGGCCUGUAGCAGACAGUCUCAGGGAUUGAUUUAUUCAUCCAGCACCCUGCAGCACAACUGUGCUCCACAGGGACAAUCCCCCUGGAGAAGCCCAGAAUCAGACUUUUGAGCAUUGGUACAGAGGGUUCUCAACAGCUAGAACUCAACAGGUGUAGAACUUGUUCUUAGAGGGGAUCAGACUGCAUCCUGACCUGGCCGUCUUCAAAGCAAAAUGCAAGAUCACCUCUUUGCUAAAGCCUUUGCCAGGAACAACAGGGUCAGCAUGAGAUGGAGUUGAUGUAAUAAGAGGAAAGAAAGAAUAAGAGAAAAGAAAACGGGGCAGGUGUGACACAGAGCGUGUGGCAAAGGGUCCCUUGUUCUUUGCAAACAGGUCUCACCUUAGACCUGACAAAUGGAAUAUACCAAACACAUCUUAUAGGAUAUUUAUCCAUAACAUGUAACACAUCUACAGAAAGCUAUGUUAUCUACCCUUUCCACAUCCCAGAACAGCCAAUGGAAAACUAUCAAAGACAAUGCUAAAUGAUCAAAGCUUGGACACGAAAAAGAACCUUCCACCAGGCUACGAAUACAGCAGAUGAUGGUUCUCAGUAGAACAGAGUGUAGGGAAAGGCGCUCUGUAUUUAUUCACUAAGGAAACCGCUUGAAGAGUUGUGGGGGCUGUCCUGAAUGUUUGGAUCCUGGUUCUUAUGAAACCAGCUAAUUCUGCAACAGACUAAACUUUCUGGGGAAAACCUACUUUAUUAGCUAGGAAAGGUAACUACUUACUGGUGUAGACCCAGGUUCACGGAUUUAAGAUUUUGUUUUCUGUUGGAAACAACUGGUUACAUCACUUUCUCCAUUUCUAGAUAAAUCUUUAUUCUGUCUUAA
Long non-coding RNA from Dermochelys coriacea (leatherback sea turtle), 1197 nucleotides. RefSeq lists it as uncharacterized. NCBI's taxonomy places the organism in Eukaryota, Metazoa, Chordata, Testudines, Dermochelyidae. The record is from RefSeq and is a predicted model, not a curated record. The transcript is spliced from 3 exons.